Molecule: ribosomal RNA, 433 nt
Filed under: uncultured bacterium
Lineage: Bacteria
Description: partial 16S ribosomal RNA
Rfam family: Bacterial small subunit ribosomal RNA
Source: RNAcentral
AACGAACGCUGGCGGCAUGCCUAACACAUGCAAGUCGAACGAUCCCUUCGGGGAUAGUGGCGCACGGGUGCGUAACGCGUGGGAACCUGCCCUUAGGUUCGGAAUAACUCAGAGAAAUUUGAGCUAAUACCGGAUAAUGUCUUCGGACCAAAGAUUUAUCGCCUUUGGAUGGGCCCGCGUUGGAUUAGCUAGUUGGUUGGGUAAAGGCCUACCAAGGCGACGAUCCAUAGCUGGUCUGAGAGGAUGAUCAGCCACACUGGGACUGAGACACGGCCCAGACUCCUACGGGAGGCAGCAGUGGGGAAUAUUGGACAAUGGGCGAAAGCCUGAUCCAGCAAUGCCGCGUGAGUGAUGAAGGCCUUAGGGUUGUAAAGCUCUUUUACCCGGGAUGAUAAUGACAGUACCGGGAGAAUAAGCCCCGGCUAACUCCGUG